RNAcentral lists this transfer RNA (88 nucleotides) under Pseudomonadota bacterium. RNAcentral describes it as "Proteobacteria bacterium (hot springs metagenome) tRNA-Ser". It matches the Rfam family "tRNA". Rfam says of the family: Transfer RNA (tRNA) molecules are approximately 80 nucleotides in length. Their secondary structure includes four short double-helical elements and three loops (D, anti-codon, and T loops). Lineage: Bacteria; Pseudomonadati; Pseudomonadota. The record is from RNAcentral.
GGAGUUGUGGCCGAGAGGUUUAAGGCGCCGGUCUCGAAAACCGGUUGGCGGAAACGCCUCGCGGGUUCGAAUCCCGCCGACUCCGCCA